AUUUAAAUAGUUUAAUAAAAACAUUGAUUUGUGGAAUCAAAAAUAUAAAAACUUAUUUUAAAUA
Molecule: transfer RNA, 64 nt
Filed under: Aulacochthebius sp. IBE<ESP> RA1155
Lineage: Eukaryota; Metazoa; Arthropoda; Insecta; Coleoptera; Hydraenidae
Description: tRNA-His
Source: RNAcentral